RNAcentral lists this ribosomal RNA (443 nucleotides) under uncultured Planctomycetaceae bacterium. Its description in RNAcentral is "bacterial SSU rRNA". It matches the Rfam family "Bacterial small subunit ribosomal RNA", at positions 29 to 505 of the family's 1533-position model. Lineage: Bacteria; Pseudomonadati; Planctomycetota; Planctomycetia; Planctomycetales; Planctomycetaceae. The record is from RNAcentral.
AAUGAACGUUGGCGGCGUGGAUUAGGCAUGCAAGUCGAGCGAGAAAUUCCAGCUUGCUGGAAUGGACAGCGGCGAAAGGGAGAGUAAUGCGUAGAAAUCUGCCCUCGGGUCUGGGAUAGCGUUGGGAAACCGGCGGUAAUACCGGAUAAUGUCUUUGGACCAAAGAAUUUCGCCCGAGGAUGAGUCUACGUCCUAUUAGCUAGUUGGUGGGGUAACGGCCUACCAAGGCAACGAUGGGUAGCGGGUGUGAGAGCAUGAUCCGCCUCACUGGGACUGAGACACUGCCCAGACAUCUACGGAUGGCUGCAGUCGAGAAUCUUUGUCAAUGGACGAAAGUCUGAACAAGCGACGCCGCGUGCGGGAUGAAGGCCUUCGGGUUGUAAACCGCUGUCAGAGGGGAGGAAAUUUUGACUGAACCUCAGAGGAAGGACGGGCUAAGUUCG